GCCAGGUGUGGUGGCUCGCGCCUGUAAUCCCAGCACUUUGGGAGGCUGAGGUGGGUGGAUCACCUGAGGUCAGGAUUUCGAGACCAGCCUGACCAAUAUGGUGAAACCCCAUCUCUA
Unclassified non-coding RNA from Pongo abelii (Sumatran orangutan), 117 nucleotides. It matches the Rfam family "Metazoan signal recognition particle RNA". From Rfam's summary of the family: The signal recognition particle (SRP) is a universally conserved ribonucleoprotein. It is involved in the co-translational targeting of proteins to membranes. Lineage: Eukaryota; Metazoa; Chordata; Mammalia; Primates; Hominidae. The record is from Ensembl.